UACGUAGGAUGCGAGCGUUAAUCGGAAUUACUGGGCGUAAAGCGUGCGCAGGCGGUUCGUUGUGUCUGCUGUGAAAUCCCCGGGCUCAACCUGGGAAUGGCAGUGGAAACUGGCGAGCUUGAGUGUGGCAGAGGGGGGUGGAAUUCCGCGUGUAGCAGUGAAAUGCGUAGAGAUGCGGAGGAACACCGAUGGCGAAGGCAACCCCCUGGGCUGACACUGACGCUCAGGCACGAAAGCGUGGGGAGCAAACAGG
This 253-nucleotide ribosomal RNA is filed under the name uncultured bacterium. RNAcentral describes it as "partial 16S ribosomal RNA". It matches the Rfam family "Bacterial small subunit ribosomal RNA", at positions 524 to 776 of the family's 1533-position model. The record is from RNAcentral.